RNAcentral lists this ribosomal RNA (444 nucleotides) under uncultured Hyphomicrobiales bacterium. Its description in RNAcentral is "bacterial SSU rRNA". It matches the Rfam family "Bacterial small subunit ribosomal RNA", at positions 337 to 798 of the family's 1533-position model. The record is from RNAcentral. Lineage: Bacteria; Pseudomonadati; Pseudomonadota; Alphaproteobacteria; Hyphomicrobiales.
UCCUACGGGAGGCAGCAGUGGGGAAUAUUGGACAAUGGGGGCAACCCUGAUCCAGCCAUGCCGCGUGAGUGAUGAAGGCCUUAGGGUUGUAAAGCUCUUUCGCCCGCGAAGAUAAUGACGGUAGCGGGAGAAGAAGCCCCGGCUAACUUCGUGCCAGCAGCCGCGGUAAUACGAAGGGGGCUAGCGUUGUUCGGAAUCACUGGGCGUAAAGCGUACGUAGGCGGAUGCUUAAGGCAGAGGUGAAAGCCUGGAGCUCAACUCCAGAACUGCCUUUGAGACUGGGCGUAUCGAGUGCGGGAGAGGUGAGUGGAACUGCUAGUGUAGAGGUGAAAGUCGUAGAUAUUAGCAAGAACACCAGUGGCGAAGGCGGCUCACUGGCCCGGUACUGACGCUGAGGUACGAAAGCGUGGGGAGCAAACAGGAUUAGAUACCCGGGUAGUCAAA